Molecule: small RNA, 333 nt
Filed under: Pan troglodytes (chimpanzee)
Lineage: Eukaryota; Metazoa; Chordata; Mammalia; Primates; Hominidae
Description: retained intron
Source: RNAcentral
AAAGUUUAUUAGAAAACUAGAAGCUUUCCAUUUAGUAGGCAGCACCAGUGGAUGUAAUGAAAAUGAUAAAUCAUUCUCAAAUUAUAUUUGUUACACAUUAGGGUAUUCAUUCAGGAGAAGGACCCUACAGAUGGAGGGAAUGCAGGAAAGCUAAGAAGAAUCACACCUCAUUGCAGAUCUGCAUUACCGUUGAAAACAGCAGCCUCAGAACCACAGUAGCCAUGAAAACCAUCAGCCUUCAACCACCACCCUUGUAUCAGAGGAGACAAAUAAGCUUGGAAAUCCUCAAAAAGCCUCAUCCUCAGAGCAAUGUCAUUAUAUAUCUUGUCUUAC